GACGAACGCUGGCGGCGUGCUUAACACAUGCAAGUCGAACGGAAAGGCCCUGCUUUUGUGGGUUGCUCGAGUGGCGAACGGGUGAGUAACACGUGAGUAACCUGCCCUUGACUUUGGGAUAACUUCAGGAAACUGGGGCUAAUACCGGAUAGGAGCUCCUGCUGCAUGGUGGGGGUUGGAAAGUUUCGGCGGUUGGGGAUGGACUCGCGGCUUAUCAGCUUGUUGGUGGGGUAGUGGCUUACCAAGGGUUUGACGGGUAGCCGGCCUGAGAGGGUGACCGGGCUCAUUGGGACUGCGAUACGGCCCAGACUCCUACGGGAGGCAGCAGUGGGGAAUAUUGCACAAUGGGCGGAAGCCUGAUGCAGCAACGCCGCGUGCGUGAUGACGGCUUUCGGGUUGUAAACCGCUUUCGCCUGUGACGAAGCGUGAGUGACGGUAAUGGGUAAAGAAGCACCGGCUAACUACGUG
Molecule: ribosomal RNA, 468 nt
Filed under: uncultured bacterium
Lineage: Bacteria
Description: partial 16S ribosomal RNA
Rfam family: Bacterial small subunit ribosomal RNA
Source: RNAcentral